CAUACCUAUUCGAAGGGAUAGGGUCGGCUCGGCCGGAUUUUACACAAGUGUUGCAUGGCUGUCGUCAGCUCGCGUCGUGAGAUGUUGGGUUAAGUCCCGCAACGAGCGCAACCCUCAUCCUUAGUUACCAUCAGGUUAUGCUGGGGACUUUAAGGAAACUGCCAGUGAUAAACUGGAGGAAGGUGGGGAUGAUGUCAAGUCAUCAUGGCCCUUAUGGAGUGGGCUACACACGUGCUAUAAUGGUGAUUACAAUGGGUUGCAAGGUCGCAAGGCUGAGCUAAUCCUAAAAAAUCAUCUCAGUUCGGAUUGUUCUCUGCAACUCGAGAGCAUGAAGUUGGAAUCGCUAGUAAUCGUGGAUCAGCAUGCCACGGUGAAUACGUUCUCGGGUCUUGUACACACUGCCCGUCACGCCAUGGGAAUUGGUUUCACUAGAAGCU
RNAcentral lists this ribosomal RNA (437 nucleotides) under Wolbachia pipientis. RNAcentral's name for it is "bacterial SSU rRNA". It matches the Rfam family "Bacterial small subunit ribosomal RNA", at positions 992 to 1428 of the family's 1533-position model. The record is from RNAcentral. Lineage: Bacteria; Pseudomonadati; Pseudomonadota; Alphaproteobacteria; Rickettsiales; Anaplasmataceae.